AGUAAAAGUCGUAACAAGGUUUCCGUAGGUGAACCUGCGGAAGGAUCAUUAUUGAAUUAUGUUUUCUAGAUGGGUUGUAGCUGGCUCUUCGGAGUAUGUGCACGCCUGUCUGGACUUCAUUUUCAUCCACCUGUGCACCUUUUGUAGUCUUUUUCAGGUAUUGGAGGAAGUGGUCAGCCUAUCAGCUCUUUGCUGGAUGUGAGGACUUGCAGUGUGAAAACAGUGCUGUCCUUUACCUUGGCCAUGGAAUCUUUUUCCUGUUAGAGUCUAUGUUAUUCAUUAUACUCUUAGAAUGUCAUUGAAUGUCUUUACAUGGGCUAUGCCUAUGAAAAUUAUUAUACAACUUUCAGCAACGGAUCUCUUGGCUCUCGCAUCGAUGAAGAACGCAGCGAAAUGCGAUAAGUAAUGUGAAUUGCAGAAUUCAGUGAAUCAUCGAAUCUUUGAACGCAUCUUGCGCUCCUUGGUAUUCCGAGGAGCAUGCCUGUUUGAGUGUCAUUAUAUUCUCAACUCUCCAAUACUUUGUUGUAAAGGAGAGCUUGGAUUGUGGAGGUUUGCUGGCUCCUUACUUGGGGUCAGCUCCUCUGAAAUGCAUUAGCGGAAUCGUCUGCGAUCUGCCACAAGUGUGAUAACUUAUCUACACUGGCGAGGGGAUUGCUUUCUGAUGUUCAGCUUCUAAUCGUCUAAGGACAAUUUCUUGAAUGCUUGACCUCAAAUCAGGUAGGACUACCCGCUGAACUUAAGCAUAUCAAUAAGCGGAGGA
This 760-nucleotide ribosomal RNA is filed under the name uncultured fungus. RNAcentral's name for it is "eukaryotic LSU rRNA". The stretch from base 342 to 495 matches the Rfam family "5.8S ribosomal RNA". Lineage: Eukaryota; Fungi. The record is from RNAcentral.